Molecule: long non-coding RNA, 6101 nt
Organism: Mobula hypostoma (lesser devil ray)
Lineage: Eukaryota; Metazoa; Chordata; Chondrichthyes; Myliobatiformes; Myliobatidae
Exons: 5
Source: RefSeq, a predicted model, not a curated record
GUUCCGCCGGGUAGGCCGGAGGGCGGCCCCGGCCUCCGGGGCUCGGUCCGCCGCCCCGAGGAAGAUCUGACUUGUUGCGGGGGCCCAGGUCCGGGGUGAAGUUUGGAAGACGCCGUAUAGGGCUGCUGCAAAGACAACAUGCCGGUGAUAUUCAACCCAGUUCUGAUUCUAUCCGUUUACCAAGGGUGGAGGGGGACCCCGACCUGGAGCUACACUCAGACUUUGGCUCUUCGCGGUGGUGGGGCCUGCUCCCGUGGGUGCACGGCCAGCUGCUUUUCCACAUCCCAAGGGCACCUUCGGGGUCUGGGGGUUCCGCGGCCCGUGUACGGGCUGAUUCUAAACCGGCACCACUGACUGGAGCGUCACGGGAGAGAACGGAACUCCGGGAGCUGUGAAUCGGCCGUCGGAGGUUCUGUACUCGAAAGCAGCAUAUGGUAACGGAUACACCAGUUUGAUAACACGUUUGUGAACUUUGAGCCGGCUGAAAUCUGUGAGGGAAGCUCACCGCCCUACACCUGAGAUCAGCAGCUCUGGCAUCUGUCAGCCCGUGUUUCCAGGGCAGAUGUAACAAGCCGCAUCUCACCGCAUGGAACCAGAGGAAAUAGCAGAGUGUUUCAGAUAAAGCAAAAAGCAUUCCAACGUGCUGCACCACGGCUUGGUCUGGUAACUGAACUGCGGCAGACGGACAGGCUCAACACCGGGUAGUCAAAUCUGCCCAAAGCAGCACGGCCACCAGCCUACCCACCACCAAGGACAUAAAUACAGAAAGGUGCCGGAGAAAGGCCAGUAACAUCAUGAAGGAUCCCACCCACCCUGCUCAUGGGCUGUUUGUCCCACUCCCAUCAGGGAGGAGGCUCUGUAGCAUCCACACCAGGACCAGCAGACUCAAAAACAGUUACUUUCCCCAAGCAGUAAGGCUGAUCAACACCUCCACCCACACACCCUGAAACAACAUCAUUAUUUCCUGUUGGAGUCUCCUCUGCCUAGUGUUACUUUAUGGACAAUCAAUCUGAUGUAUUUACAUUUACUUCUUGUUUAUUAUUGUCUAUUAUCUAGAGAAAGUAGAGGGCUAUAUGUAACCCUAGGUAAUUUCUAAAGGAAGUACAUGUUCGGCAUAGUAUUGUGGGCCGAAGGGCCUGUAAUGUGCUGUAUGUUUUCUAUGUUUCUAUUGCAUUCUUUACCCAAGUGUUUCUUCUGUGCUUCACCGGAUCCAGAGUAAGAGCUACCUUGUUCUCCUUUUCACUCCUACGCUGGAAAUGACAUUAAAGAAUCUAGAUGUGAGCCACAGCUGGUGUUGGGUUGCUGAUUGUUACAUGUACAGAGAAACAGAGAGGAGCUUCAUCUGCCUGCUAGCCAGAGCAAUCCUUAUAAACAAGUACACUCAGUGACUUCUUUAGUAGGUACACCAGUAAUAGCUGUUUGUUAAUGAAAAUACUGUAUCUAAUCAGCCAGUCACGUGGCAGCAACUCAGUGCAUAAAAGCAUACAGACAUGGUCAAGAGGUUCAGUUGUUGUUCAGACGAAAUAUCAGAAUGGGGUAAAACCGUGACUGAAGUGACUUUGACCAUGGAAUGAUUGUUGGUGCCAGACAGGGUGGUUUGAGUAUCUCAGAAACUGCUAAUCUCCUGGGAUUUUCAUACACAACAGUCUAGAGUUUACAGAGAAUGACGAGAAAAACAAAAAACAGCCAGUGAGUGGCUGUUCUGUGGGUGAAAAUGUCUUGUUAAUGAGGGAGAUCAGAGGAGAACGGCCAGCCAGGUUCAAGCUGCUAAAGUGACAGUAACUCAAAUAACCAGACAUUACAACAGUGGCAUGCAGAAGAGCAUCUCUGAACACACAACACAUCAAACCUUGAAGUGGAUGGGCUACAGCAGCAGAAGAUCAUGAACAUACACUCAGAGACCACUUUAUGAGGUUCAGGAGGUAAGUAAUGAAGAGGCCAUGGAGUGCACGUUGAAGUAGUAGUGGAGGGAAAACAACAGAAUACGUAAUGCUAAAAACAGAACAAUACGAGGGGCAUACAGUCCAUUUCUCCCACCCUGCCCCUGCAUCGUCUCUGAGUCUGUGGGUGUGUCCAUGAGUUCCCUCUCUUCACCCCUUAUCACAGCCCAAACUCCAAACCUGCCUUGUUUCAGCACACAGCAUGCUUGGACGUUCUUCACCAUAUCACUGAUACAGCUCAUGAAGAGCUGAUCCCUGUGAAACCCCCGGCAAAGGUCACCAAUCCCCAAAGCAGCUCUUAGUGUGCGUUGUUUCUGUCUGUUAACCAACAUAUCACUGUCUAUGAAACUGUGCGUUGUAAUCUUACCCAAUAACCUUCUCUGGCCAUCUUUUUGGGAAACUUCAAACAUAUCUGAUCCAUUGCUUCUCUAAGCCAUUCAGAUAGUAACAUGGUUUAAUUAAUUUUUUUUUAAAAGAUAAAGAUUAGUUUUAUUUGUCACAUGUACAUUGAAACAUACAGUGAAAUGCGGCCUCCUCUACUGUCACAAUGAGGCCACACUCAGGUUGGAGGAACAACACCUCAUAUUUCUUCUGGGUAGCCUCCAACCUGAUGGCAUGAACAUCAAUUUCUCCAACUUCUGAUAAUGCCCCCCCCCGCCAACCUUUCACCAUUCCCGUUUCCCUCUCUCACCUUAUCUCCUUACCUGCUCAUCACCUUCCUCUGGUGUUCUUCCUCCUCUUCCUCCAUGGUCUUCUACCCUCUCCUGUCAGAUUCCCCCUUCUCCAGCCCUGUAUCCCUUUCACCAAUCAACUUCCCAGCUCUUUACGUCACCCCUCCCCUCCUCCCUCCCGGUUUCACCCAUCACCUACCUCAUUGUUCUGCCUCCUUCCAUCCCCUCACCUUCUUACUCGGACUCCUCGUCUUUUUCUCCAGUCCUGAUGAAGGGUCUCAGCCUGAAAUGUCAACUGUUUACUCUUUUCCAUAGAUGCUGCCUGGCCUGCUGAGUUCCCCCAGCAUUUUGUGCGUCAUUUGGAUUUCCUGCGUCUGCAGAUUUUCUCAUCUCAGUGAAAUGUGUCGUUUGGCCAACUACCAACACAGUCUGAGGAUGUGCUGGGGGCAGCCCACAAGAGUCUCCAUGCUUCCAGCACCAACGUAACAUGUUCAGAACUUCUUAACCCUAACCCAUACGUCUUUGGAAUGUGGGAGGAAACCCACACGGUCAUGGGGAGAACGCACAAACUCCUUACAGGUAAUAAUGGAACCUGGGUCACUGUCUCUGUAAUAAUAUUACACUAUCCACUCCGCGGCCGUAUCACCCGAACCAUACCAGCCCAGUACAUCACAGUCAAAACUGUGUGCCCUAGUUUUAUUGAAUUAAUUUCUCUGGCAUCUUCUGUUUGGAAACCUUCCCUAAGCCAUUCAGAUAGUUAUAAGCUCUACAUGUUUGUCAGACAUGACACCUGUUAAAUUCAUGCAUUUCUGCCACUCACAUUAUCAUGUCAAAUACAUAUCUACCUCUGCCUCAGCUCUGAUGCCCAGCUUCGCCCCGACUUGUGAUCGCAGGCGAACUGCCAAUUCGCUCUGCCAUCUUUGUCUUCUUUUGCAUAUCAGGUGUUUGUCAGGUUUUGUUUAUGUAUAGUUUUUCAUUAAUUCUAUUGUAUUUCUUUAUUUUCCUGUAAACACAUGUAAGAACAUGGGUCUCAGGACAGUGUAUGGUGAGAUUAUGCACUUUGAUUUUUAAAACUUUACUUUACAACUUUGACUUAAAUCAGACGUCAGUGCAGUGCAUCAGCAGGUGAACCAAGUACCUCAGGGAACCCCUCCCUGUCCAAACUUCUCAAACGUUGAAAUUGAGUUUGCAUCCACCACUUAUGCUGGAAGCUCAUUCCACACUCUUACGACUCUCUGAAGGAAGAAGUUUCUCCUCAUGUUCCUCUUAAACUUCUCAUCUUUCACCCUUAACCCAUGACCUCUGGUUGCAGUCCCACUCAACCACAGUGGAAAAAGCCUGCUUGCAUUUACCCUACCUAUACCGCUUAUAAUUUUGUAUAUUUCUAUCAAAUGUCCUCUCAAUCUUCUACAUUCUAAAGAAUACAGUUCUAACUUAUUCAAUCUAUCCAUAUAACUCAGGUCCUCCAGACUCGGCAACAUCCUUGCAAAUUUUCUCUGUACUCUUUCAAUCUUGUUUGCAGUUUCCUGUAGGUAGGUGACCAAAACUGCACACAAUAUUCCAAAUUGGCCUCACCAACGUCUUAUACAACUUCAACAUAACAUCCCAUCUUCUGUCCAUACACAGAUGCGUCAAAAUUUUUCUUUAUGACCGUAUCUGCCUGUGACGCCACCUUCAAUGAAUCAUGGACCUGUGUUCCCAGAUCCCUUUGUUCUACCCCACUCCCCAGUGCCCGACCGUUCACUGUGUAAGACUUGCCCUGGUUGCAAAAUCUUUUGCACUUGACCUACCCAGGUUCAAUGGCACCACUUCCUGUGAGGAGUUUGUACGUUACCCCCAAGGUCGUGUGGACUUCCUCCUGCCGCUCUGGUUUCCUCCUACAUUCCAAGACAUACGGGUUAGUAGGAUAGUUGGUGACAGGGCUGUAACUGGGCGAGGCCGGAGGGUCCAGCAGCACCCAGGCGGGCAGAGGGGUGCAUCAGGACAGAGAGUGGAGAAGAGAUGGCCAGAAAUGGAAGUCCUUUCAGAAGAGGAGAUUUGCUCCACUUCAACUUUCUGUAUUAGAUUUUUUGGUGAUACAGCACAGAGUUGUCCCUCUGGCCCUUUGAACUAAGCCACCCCAGCAAGCGCCCACAACCCCAAUUUAACCCCAGCUGAACCAUGGGACAAUUUACAAUGACCAAUUAACCGACCCGGUACGCCUCUGGACUGGGGUGGGGGGGGGGGAGGCUGGAGCACCCAGAAACCCACGCAUUCCAUGGGGAGGGUGUACAGAUGAUGUUCGAAUUGAGCUCUGAACUCCCAGCACCCUCAGCAGUAAUAGUGUCUCACUAACCACCUCAUUGCCAUGGCUGCCAGACUUGCUGAGUUCCCCCAGCAUCUUGCAUGUUGCUCUGGAUUUCCAGCAUCUGCAGAAUCUCAGUUACAUGUUGAAUUUUAAAUACAUUUACUGUUAUCUACAAUACUUGAGCCCCUGUGCGCGCCACCAUUCCCAGAACAUCCCCACCACGGAGGCAUGCCCCUUCUCCAGGGACACGGGCACGGAUGCAACCCAGGAGGAAGGGCAGCCAGUUGGCUCAGGAAGAGCCAUCAACUGCCCUCCGCCUGGACCCAUGCAUGGCCAGUUUGCUCAAACUAGGGGAUCGCCCAAACUGCCCUCAUCCCUCCUCAGCGGGUGACCAUUGAUCAGGGAAGCGGGGCUGACCUGCAGCCAGAAGCUGAGGAGCAGCCACUUCAGAGACUCAAACAGGAGCUGCACCCUCUCACACUCCACAAGGGCAGGGUACUAGCUCCUCCUGACCACAGAAAGGACAGCUGGACUGGCUCAAAAUCUGCCAAUGUUCCCUAUGCAACGCCCUCCUCCCCACUUCUCCUGCCUUCCAAUCACUUGCUUGGUUUAACCACUCCUUUAAAAUGCCAAAAAAGGCAAGACUCCUUGCCCCUUCCUAUCACAAUCAUCUCCAUUGCAGCUUGGCAUCAAGUUUCAUUUGAUUCUAUGGGAUUCCAUGAACAAGUUUCAGUAAAAGGUAACAGCACAUAAGUGCCAUCAUAAAGAUUUCACCUAAAGCUUUAUCAAACUUGCAUAGAUGUGUAGUGGAGAGAAUACUGACUGGCUAUAUCAUAUGGAAACAACAAUUGCCUGGAAUGGAAAAUCCUACAAAAAGCAGUGGAUACGGACUAGCCCUUCAUGGGCAAAGCCCUCCCCACCACUGAGCACAUUUACACAGAGUGCUGUAACAAGAAAAAAGCAGCAAUCAUCAAGGGCCCCAACCAUUCAGACCAUGUUCUGCUCUCAUUACGACUAUUGGGCAUGAGGUACAGGAGUCUCAGAUCCCACACCAUCAGGAUCAGGAACAGUUAUUACCCCUCAAACAUCAGGUCCCACACCACCAGGUUCAGGAACAGUUAUUACCCUACAACCAUCAGGUCCCACACCACCAGAUUCAGGAACAGUUAUUAGCCCGCAACCAUCAGGUCCCACACCACCAGG